Molecule: ribosomal RNA, 253 nt
Filed under: uncultured bacterium
Lineage: Bacteria
Description: partial 16S ribosomal RNA
Rfam family: Bacterial small subunit ribosomal RNA
Source: RNAcentral
UACGAAGGGGGCUAGCGUUGCUCGGAAUGACUGGGCGUAAAGGGCGCGUAGGCGGCUUACAUAGUUAGGCGUGAAAUUCCUGGGCUCAACCUGGGGACUGCGUCUAAUACAUGUAGGCUUGAGUGUGAAAGAGGGUUGUGGAAUUCCCAGUGUAGAGGUGAAAUUCGUAGAUAUUGGAAAGAACACCGGUGGCGAAGGCGGCGACCUGGUUCAUUACUGACGCUGCGGCGCGAAAGCGUGGGGAGCAAACAGG